This 325-nucleotide ribosomal RNA is filed under the name uncultured bacterium. Its description in RNAcentral is "bacterial SSU rRNA". It matches the Rfam family "Bacterial small subunit ribosomal RNA", at positions 29 to 351 of the family's 1533-position model. The record is from RNAcentral.
AUUGAACGCUGGCGGCAUGCUUUACACAUGCAAGUCGAGCGGCAGCGCGGGGGCGAACCCUGGCGGCGAGCGGCGAACGGGUGAGUAAUACAUCGGAACGUACCCAGGAGUGGGGGAGUAGCCCGGCGAAAGCCGGAUUAAUACCGCAUACGAUCUUAGGAUGAAAGUAGGGGGACCGGCAAGGCCUCACGCUUUUGGAGCGGCCGAUGUCCGAUUAGCUAGUUGGUGGGGUAAAGGCCUACCAAGGCGACGAUCGGUAGCUGGUCUGAGAGGAUGAUCAGCCACACUGGGACUGAGACACGGCCCAGACUCCUACGGGAGGCGA